Non-coding RNA from Paramuricea clavata, 507 nucleotides. The record is from the annotation of a GenBank genome assembly. NCBI's taxonomy places the organism in Eukaryota, Metazoa, Cnidaria, Anthozoa, Malacalcyonacea, Plexauridae.
CGGGGCGAAAAUAAAAUACAGCAUGAUAUUCAGCGUACUUUAAACUAUAAAAUCAGCACAAUUUCAGAAAAAAAUUUCAGCCGUUUCAUAAACACUUUAAGGAUAUUAAAUAUAUUGUGCUAGAAAAGAACAUCCCAUUUUUUGCGACUUUGCGACUUAUGAGAGGGAGUGUGGAUAGGGUCAACACAGAAAUGAUGGAUGUUCGUUGGCGUAUGUUCAAAUUACAUCGCCAGAUACCAAGAGAUGAACAGAAACAUAUAAAACCUUGUGUUUCUUGCUUUGCCAAGCUCAUCUUAGAUAAUGUAGAGCGGUAGCAAACAAUAAUUUACUAACAGGAUGAGAUAAUUGGCUUAAUGAUAUACUUGUCUGCCAACAAAUAAUUUAUAGAUCGAUGCUCACUGACGGAUUUCAGCAUAAAAUACAAUGUUUUAUUAGUUUUUUAAUCAUUAACAUUAUGCAUUUGCUAAUUUUUAUCACAGAAUAUGUAUAAUACGAAUAUUAUAGUCA